UACGAAGGGGGCUAGCGUUGCUCGGAAUCACUGGGCGUAAAGGGUGCGUAGGCGGCGCGGUAAGUCGGGUGUGAAAUCUCGGAGCUUAACUCCGAAACUGCAUUCGAUACUGCCGUGCUUGAGGACUGGAGAGGAGACUGGAAUUUACGGUGUAGCGGUGAAAUGCGUAGAUAUUGUAAGGAAGACCAGUGGCGAAGGCGGGUCUCUGGACAGUUCCUGACGCUGAGGCACGAAGGCCAGGGGAGCAAACGGG
Molecule: ribosomal RNA, 253 nt
Filed under: uncultured bacterium
Lineage: Bacteria
Description: partial 16S ribosomal RNA
Rfam family: Bacterial small subunit ribosomal RNA
Source: RNAcentral